AGUGAACGCUGGCGGUAGGCCUAACACAUGCAAGUCGAACGGCAGCACAGUAAGAGCUUGCUCUUACGGGUGGCGAGUGGCGGACGGGUGAGGAAUACAUCGGAAUCUACUUUUUCGUGGGGGAUAACGUAGGGAAACUUACGCUAAUACCGCAUACGACCUACGGGUGAAAGCAGGGGAUCUUCGGACCUUGCGCGAUUGAAUGAGCCGAUGUCGGAUUAGCUAGUUGGCGGGGUAAGGGCCCACCAAGGCGACGGUCCGUAGCUGGUCUGAGAGGAUGAUCGGCCACACUGGAACUGAGACACGGUCCAGACUCCUACGGGAGGCAGCAGUGGGGAAUAUUGGACAAUGGGCGCAAGCCUGAUCCAGCCAUACCGCGUGGGUGAAGAAGGCCUUCGGGUUGUAAAGCCCUUUUGUUGGGAAAGAAAAGCAGCAGGUUAAUACCCCGCUGUUCUGACGGUACCCAAAGAAUAAGCACCGGCUAACUUCGUG
Molecule: ribosomal RNA, 492 nt
Filed under: uncultured bacterium
Lineage: Bacteria
Description: partial 16S ribosomal RNA
Rfam family: Bacterial small subunit ribosomal RNA
Source: RNAcentral